This 2360-nucleotide long non-coding RNA is filed under the name Triticum aestivum (bread wheat). Its description in RNAcentral is "long non-coding RNA (TAES_LNC006462)". Lineage: Eukaryota; Viridiplantae; Streptophyta; Magnoliopsida; Poales; Poaceae. The record is from RNAcentral.
GGUACAUAUGGGAGGCCCAUGGUGGCCCAGGCCCAGUACUGUUUAUGUAACCCUAAUGUUGUGGUAUAUAUAUAUGUGUGUGUGGUGGUCCUGUGUGAACCAACCUGCAGAUCGACCAAAACCAAGACUGAAUCCAUUCCCUCUCGUGUUACAACAUGGUAUCAGAGCUAGGUUGUAGCCGCUCGCCUCGCCGUCUCCUGAGGUGGCUGUGGGCAAAGCCCACGGCUGCUAGGGAAGGAGGCGGCGGGGACGUGAAGGAAGGAGGCGGAUCCGGGCGGAGCUGCGCGGUCGGCGGAUCUGGGCGCGGUGUCCAGGAGCUGCUCUCGGCGUGGAUUCGCGGCGGGGGCUGGCUGGGAGCUGUGCGCGGGUGGCGGCGGCGAGCUGCACGCGCGAGCAAGGCGCGGGCAUGAUGAGCGCGUGUGCGGACUGGAUCUGGCGAGCUCGGCGCGGUGGGCGCGUGCAGAAGGCCGGGAGAUGCGGAUCUGGGGCUUGGAGUUCGAGCUCGUGCUCGUGCUCUAGGCGGCGCUGCGAGGAGGCGCUGGGAUGCACAGCACGCGCUGGCCAUGGCUGUGGGUCGCUGGGCAGGCGGCGUGGCGCUGGCGAGCGGCUGCGCGCGCGGCAAGUGAGGCAUGGAGAGGCUGCGUGCGGGCAGAAGAGGGAAAGAAAAGGAAGAAGAGGAGCUGAGGUGCGCCUGCGCGCGCGCCAAGUGCUGCUGUUGUCCUGGUGCUGCCUGCUGCUGGAAGUAAAAAAAAAGAGAGGAGUUGAGCUGCUGGUGCAGAAGAGGAGGUGAGGUUGUGCGCGGCGAGAAGGAAACAGAGGAGGAGCGGCCAAGGAGGAAGAGGAGAAGGAGGCUGACUCUGUUGUUGCUGCUGUUGUGGCUGCAUCUGUAGCUGCUGUGGUUGCGUCCAAGUGUAGCGGCGCGUGAGGAAGAGGAGGUGCUGUUGGGCGCUGUGGUCCUGGCGGCUGCUGUGUUCUGCUGCUGCUGCUGACAAAAGAGUAAGAAGGAAGGUUGUGUGCUGCUGCUGCAGGAGACGGAGAGGAGGCAUAGGAGAAAGAGAAGGGCAGCUGCUUGUGGCUCCUGUGUGCUAGUUGCUGCUGCUGUUUGGAAGAGGAGUUGGUCGCAGCUGCUGGUGCUGCUGAGGGGGAGAAGGAUGAGAUGGGGGAGAAGGAUGAGAUGUUGCGCUGGCUGUGGUGUUGUUGCUCCUCCGUGCUUGGUGCAAGGAGCAGAGGGGGAGAGAUGCCUUGGUUCGCUGCAAGGACCAAGGAGAGAGAUGCUGCUACUGAUGGCAGCCAGAUGGAUUUUCUUUUAGGGGGAGAGAGGGAGAUGUGGUGAUGAUGGAGAUGAUGAGGCUGCGGCUUGAGUGUGGUUGGUGAUGAGGAAGUGUCCGGGGGAGAGGCCGUCGUGCCUGAGGUGAGAAUGGUUGAGGCCUGACCAUGGGAGAGGCCGUCGUGCCUGAGGAGAAGAUGGCUGGGGCAGGAGUUGCCCGGAGAGGCCGUCGUGCCUGUGGAGAAGAUGGAAGAGGUCAGUGGCCGAAGAGGCCGUCGUGCCUGUGGAGAAGACGGGCUGAGGACAUUGAGGCGAGUGUGGAUGGUUCUACGGAACCUGUGUAGUGUGGCAGCCGGGUUGUUGAGGAGGUGCAUGGUGCUCAGUUGGCCAUCACAAGUUGGAGGUGGUGAGAAGAUGAUGGAGAGGGCAAUGGCUCUCAUGUAUCGUAGUUGGUUAAGUUUUCUGUUCAUUAGAGUGGUCGUAGUUUGAGUUUAUGUAGUUGUUGCAAGAUGGUCAUGGGUGUUUACCCAUGAUCAUCUUGAGGGGGAGUGUUGGUACAUAUGGGAGGCCCAUGGUGGCCCAGGCCCAGUACUGUUUAUGUAACCCUAAUGUUGUGGUAUAUAUAUAUGUGUGUGUGGUGGUCCUGUGUGAACCAACCUGCAGAUCGACCAAAACCAAGACUGAAUCCAUUCCCUCUCGUGUUACAACAUAUAAUAUCUAGAUUACAAAAUGGCAUUGCAACAUAUCAUUAUUAACUUGUUAAUUUCAUCAAAAUUCCUUUCCAUGAAUAACAGCAAAAAUACUGUUAGUGUUUUGUUAAACAAACAUGAAAAUUGUGAGAUAUUUCGUAUGAUUUCCACUUUUACAGAUCAGCAAACAGUAUAUAAUAUCAAAAUGAGUAAAACAUAAAAAAAUGUGUAUAGUUGACUCCGAAGUGAAGAAUUUCUUUCCCUUAUGAAGAGCAACACAGAAUGGUAACCAGUUGGGAUCUAAAGACAAAUCACAACAAGAUUUAAAAUAUUAUUAGCUAGCACGAGUAACAGAAAGGAAGGGCAAGAUAAUGCAAAGACUCACUUCAAACAUAACCUAAUAU